Non-coding RNA from Mycena latifolia, 90 nucleotides. Lineage: Eukaryota; Fungi; Basidiomycota; Agaricomycetes; Agaricales; Mycenaceae. The record is from the annotation of a GenBank genome assembly.
UCGGGUGUGGUGUAUGGUGCACGACGGUUCCAUUUAGUGAUGUCAAGAUGGUGUAUACCGUACGCCGGGGUUCGACUCCCCGCACCCGAC